Non-coding RNA from Collybiopsis luxurians FD-317 M1, 85 nucleotides. The record is from the annotation of a GenBank genome assembly. Lineage: Eukaryota; Fungi; Basidiomycota; Agaricomycetes; Agaricales; Omphalotaceae.
GGCCUGAUGGUCUAGGAGUAUGAUUCGUUGUUAGGGCUAUUCAAGCUUUUCGACGAGGUCCCGGGUUCAAUUCCCGGUCAGGCCC